Molecule: ribosomal RNA, 817 nt
Filed under: uncultured Actinomycetes bacterium
Lineage: Bacteria; Bacillati; Actinomycetota; Actinomycetes
Description: bacterial SSU rRNA
Rfam family: Bacterial small subunit ribosomal RNA
Source: RNAcentral
ACUCCUACGGGAGGCAGCAGUGGGAAUAUUGCACAAUGGGCGAAAGCCUGAUGCAGCAACGCCGCGUGAGGGACGACGGCCUUCGGGUUGUAAACCUCUUUUAGUAGGGAAGAAGCGAAAGUGACGGUACCUGCAGAAAAAGCACCGGCUAACUACGUGCCAGCAGCCGCGGUAAUACGUAGGGUGCAAGCGUUAUCCGGAAUUAUUGGGCGUAAAGAGCUCGUAGGCGGUUUGUCGCGUCUGCUGUGAAAACUGGAGGCUCAACCUCCAGCCUGCAGUGGGUACGGGCAGACUAGAGUGCGGUAGGGGAGAUUGGAAUUCCUGGUGUAGCGGUGGAAUGCGCAGAUAUCAGGAGGAACACCGAUGGCGAAGGCAGAUCUCUGGGCCGUAACUGACGCUGAGGAGCGAAAGCAUGGGGAGCGAACAGGAUUAGAUACCCUGGUAGUCCAUGCCGUAAACGUUGGGAACUAGAUGUAGGGACCAUUCCACGGUUUCUGUGUCGCAGCUAACGCAUUAAGUUCCCCGCCUGGGGAGUACGGCCGCAAGGCUAAAACUCAAAGGAAUUGACGGGGGCCCGCACAAGCGGCGGAGCAUGCGGAUUAAUUCGAUGCAACGCGAAGAACCUUACCAAGGCUUGACAUAUACCGGAAAUGGCUAGAAAUAGUCCCCCCGCAAGGUCGGUAUACAGGUGGUGCAUGGUUGUCGUCAGCUCGUGUCGUGAGAUGUUGGGUUAAGUCCGCAACGAGCGCAACCCUCGUUCUAUGUUGCCAGCACGUAAUGGUGGGAACUCAUAGGAGACUGCCGGGGUCAACUCGGA